This 391-nucleotide long non-coding RNA is filed under the name Medicago truncatula (barrel medic). RNAcentral's name for it is "lncRNA gene45650". Lineage: Eukaryota; Viridiplantae; Streptophyta; Magnoliopsida; Fabales; Fabaceae. The record is from RNAcentral.
GGCUUCUUCAUUCUUAGUUCAGUUGCUUGGUUUUUUUACCUCAAGAUCUUUUUGAAGCAGCUCUUUUUGACAUGAAGAUGGCUGGUCUUGGAUGAUACUGGUUUUUGUGUUUUCUUAGAGUGGAAGGCGAACUAGAUAUUUUAAUACAAUUGAUCAUCUCCAAAGGUAUAUCUGCAGUUGAAUCACAAGAGGAUGCCUCUAAUCCCCCAAAAUAAUCUUGAAAGGUACUCUCGUUGUUGUCUUCAAUUUCACCGUUCUUUAAAGAUUGAAAACAGGUGCUUCCAUGAACAUUACCAUGUGUUGAUUUCAACAAUUUUGAUGCACAGUAUUCGCCUGAACUAGGAUGUUCAAGAAAUGCCGUUGAAUAUCCAGAACAUUGCGACACUGUAAA